RNAcentral lists this transfer RNA (72 nucleotides) under Williamwhitmania taraxaci. It matches the Rfam family "tRNA". Rfam says of the family: Transfer RNA (tRNA) molecules are approximately 80 nucleotides in length. Their secondary structure includes four short double-helical elements and three loops (D, anti-codon, and T loops). Lineage: Bacteria; Pseudomonadati; Bacteroidota; Bacteroidia; Bacteroidales; Williamwhitmaniaceae. The record is from Rfam by way of RNAcentral.
GGCCCCCUAGUUCAAUGGAUAGAAUUUUAGAUUCCGGUUCUGAAGAUAUGGGUUCGAAUCCCGUGGGGGUCA